GACAGAGGUUGCAAACGUUGUUCGGAAUUACUGGGCAUAAAGCGCACGUAGGUGGUCCGCUAAGUCGGAUGUGAAAUUCCCCGGCUCAACCGGGGAACGGCAAUCGAUACUGGCGGGCUUGAGGUCCGGAGGGGUGAGUGGAACUACUGGUGGAGCGGUGAAAUGCGUAGAGAUCCGGAGGAACACCAGAGGCGAAGGCGGCCUACUGGGCUGCACCUGACGCUGAACCGCGAAAGCCAGGGGAGCGAACGGG
RNAcentral lists this ribosomal RNA (253 nucleotides) under uncultured bacterium. RNAcentral describes it as "partial 16S ribosomal RNA". It matches the Rfam family "Bacterial small subunit ribosomal RNA", at positions 524 to 776 of the family's 1533-position model. The record is from RNAcentral.